This 72-nucleotide transfer RNA is filed under the name Camelus bactrianus (Bactrian camel). It matches the Rfam family "tRNA". Rfam says of the family: Transfer RNA (tRNA) molecules are approximately 80 nucleotides in length. RNAcentral also lists the same sequence under 2 other names. The record is from Rfam by way of RNAcentral. Lineage: Eukaryota; Metazoa; Chordata; Mammalia; Artiodactyla; Camelidae.
GAUGGUAUAGCUCAGUGGUAGAGAGCAUGCUUAGCAUAUACGAGGUCCUGGGUUCAGUCCCCAGUACCUCCU